Molecule: small nuclear RNA, 20 nt
Filed under: Arabidopsis thaliana (thale cress)
Lineage: Eukaryota; Viridiplantae; Streptophyta; Magnoliopsida; Brassicales; Brassicaceae
Description: snRNA_01293
Source: RNAcentral
UGGAAUACUUGAACUACCAU